AAGUCGUAACAAGGUCUUCGUAGGUGAACCUGCGGAGGGAUCAUUGAUGAAAUUAAACAAGGCCUAGGCAUGCUUUUACAGUAGUGUCUAAGGUUUUCAUCCCACACACCCCUGUGCACCCUUUUUUGUUGUGUUCUCGAGUGGCAACGGCGAAACGGCUCUCUUUCGGGAGGGUUUGGAUUAGCUGGCGUUGUUUUGGGGGCGCGGCGGAAACGCUUGUGAAUGUAAACAGUCAUGGAGUUAUACUUUUCCUUUAUUGGAAUACGUCUUAA
RNAcentral lists this unclassified non-coding RNA (272 nucleotides) under plant metagenome. Its description in RNAcentral is "partial contains small subunit ribosomal RNA and internal transcribed spacer 1". The stretch from base 1 to 46 matches the Rfam family "Eukaryotic small subunit ribosomal RNA", at positions 1786 to 1831 of the family's 1831-position model. The record is from RNAcentral.